This is a long non-coding RNA of Homo sapiens (human), 758 nucleotides long. Ensembl annotates it as MIR7515 host gene. The record is from Ensembl. Lineage: Eukaryota; Metazoa; Chordata; Mammalia; Primates; Hominidae.
AUUCUGUUGCAUGUAGAAGUCAGUAAAUUGCAGAUGUAAGAUUCAAAACCAGACUUCACAUCUACCGACUUCAGUGACCCUGAAAUUUGUUCACAGAGAGCAUUUAACAUAACUGUCUUCAUCAUCUCCUUCUCUACAUUAAAAAUUAUGGAGGCCUUACAAACUGGUAGAAGAUGCAUAACAGAAGAGCUUAUGAAGUUAAAGAUGACAGCAUAGCAGCACUGGUGAAGCUAGAGAAGAAGAUUCCUAAGAUGUAGGAGGAAAUUAUCAUACUGAGUAAGAGGGUGCAAUUUUGGAAGGUUGGACUUGAUGACCUCUCCAGCAUUAAGGUUCACAAAGACGUUAUUGGUGAUUCAAUCUUGAGUCAUGAAAAGUCAACCUUGAGCCACAAAAAGUCAACCUUGAGCCAAGCAGAUUGGAGAGUCAUACAUGCCAUUCCUGGGACCAUCAAAAAUGGCAGAGGUCACACAAAAAGGCAAAACUUUUAAGAGGUGUUUUAAACGUCGUAUGGCCUUCUCUGGCACUUUUAAGAUAUGCAUCAGGUUUUAUUCAUCUCUGAUUUUCUAGCCUCUGGCAGACUACCUGGUGUACCAGAGGCUUUGUAAGUAAUAGUUAAAUAAAGAGAAAACAUUAAAGCAACAUUGAAGGAAGAGGGUUAACCAGACUACAGAUUUGAGACCUCUAUCUCAGAGGGCCAACAGUCAUGUUGAUGUUUUCAUGCUUUCUUGGAUAUAAAAGUCACACUACACUUUCCCUCU